GACGAACGCUGGCGGCGUGCUUAACACAUGCAAGUCGAACGGAAAGGCCCUGCUUUUGUGGGGUGCUCGAGUGGCGAACGGGUGAGUAACACGUGAGUAACCUGCCCUUGACUUUGGGAUAACUUCAGGAAACUGGGGCUAAUACCGGAUAGGAGCUCCUGCUGCAUGGUGGGGGUUGGAAAGUUUCGGCGGUUGGGGAUGGACUCGCGGCUUAUCAGCUUGUUGGUGGGGUAGUGGCUUACCAAGGCUUUGACGGGUAGCCGGCCUGAGAGGGUGACCGGCCACAUGGGGACUGAGAUACGGCGCAGACUGCUACGGGAGGCAGCAGUGGGGAAUAUUGCACAAUGGGCGGAAGCCUGAUGCAGCAACGCCGCGGGCGGGAUGACGGCCUUCGGGUUGUAAACCGCUUUCGCCUGUGACGAAGCGUGAGUGACGGUAAUGGGUAAAGAAGCACCGGCUAACUACGUG
Molecule: ribosomal RNA, 468 nt
Filed under: uncultured bacterium
Lineage: Bacteria
Description: partial 16S ribosomal RNA
Rfam family: Bacterial small subunit ribosomal RNA
Source: RNAcentral